This 67-nucleotide transfer RNA is filed under the name Triraphis sp. QL-2013. RNAcentral describes it as "tRNA-Ser". Lineage: Eukaryota; Metazoa; Arthropoda; Insecta; Hymenoptera; Braconidae. The record is from RNAcentral.
AGGUAAUGAACUUGAUUAAGUAUAUAUUUUGAAAAUAUAAAAUAGAAUUAGAAUUUUCUAUUAUCUU